RNAcentral lists this long non-coding RNA (280 nucleotides) under Elaeis guineensis (African oil palm). RNAcentral's name for it is "long non-coding RNA (EGUI_LNC030024)". Lineage: Eukaryota; Viridiplantae; Streptophyta; Magnoliopsida; Arecales; Arecaceae. The record is from RNAcentral.
UCCUUCUUUAUAUAUAGGGGACUGGCUUAGGCUGUUAGGACGUUAGAAAAAUUUAUUAGACUGUUAGUUUGUUAUAACAGAAUGGCUAGCUAUAUAGAGAUCGUGGGUUGUUCACCCAUACGAAUAAUGACUAUAGUAUAGUUGGAAGAUAACUAUAGCAGAGCUAGAAAAUUGCUGUAUCAUAACUAUAAUCAAACCGUAAUAUAGCUGGAAGAUAACUAACUUGAAGUUUUACUGGUUAAGUAAAAUCAGCUAAGUACGAUGAGAUCGGCCAAAUCCG